Molecule: ribosomal RNA, 1884 nt
Filed under: human gut metagenome
Description: bacterial LSU rRNA
Rfam family: Bacterial large subunit ribosomal RNA
Source: RNAcentral
AGAAGCUAAGAAGAGCGUAGGGAGAAUGCCUUGGCAUUAGGAGCCGACGAAGGACGUGAUAAGCUGCGAUAAGCUGCGGGGAUCAGCAAGUAUGAAUUGAUCCGCAGAUUUCCGAAUGGAGCAAUCCGUAUGUGUAUGCACAUACAUCAUAUACUGAAUCAAAUAGGUAUAUGAGGGGAACCGCCUGAACUGAAACAUCUAAGUAGGGCGAGGAAGAGAAAUCAACCGAGAUUCUGUGAGUAGUGGCGAGCGAAAGCGGAAGAGGCUAAACCAUAGGUAGCAAUACUUAUGGGGUUUCGGACAGCAUUUAGUAUUGAUAAUUUCUAGUUGAAACGUGUGGGAAAACGUACCGAAGAGUGUGAGAGUCACGUAAGCGAAAGAGAGAAUCAGCGAGCUGUAUCCAAAGUACCGCGGGACACGUGAAACCCCGUGGGAAGAUGGGGGGACCAUCCUCCAAGCCUAAAUACUACCUAAUGACCGAUAGCGAAUAGUACUGUGAAGGAACGGUGAAAAGAACCCCGGGAGGGGAGUGAAAAAGAACCUGAAACCCUAUGCUUACAAGCACCGAGAGCACGUCAAAGUGUGAUCGGGUACCUUUUGUAGAAUGGUCCGGCGAGUUAUUGUAUGCGGCAAGGUUAAGUGCUUAAGGCACGGAGCCGAAGCGAGAGCAAGUCUGAACAGGGCGAAAAAGUCGUAUGCAAUAGACCCGAAACCGAGUGACCUAUCCAUGUCCAGGCUGAAGUGGAGGUAAAACUCCAUGGAGGGCCGAACACACGUCCGUUGAAAAGGCCGGUGAUGAGGUGUGGAUAGCGGAGAAAUUCCAAUCGAACUCGGAUAUAGCUGGUUCUCUCCGAAAUAGCUUUAGGGCUAGCCUCGUGAAAGAUUACUGGAGGUAAAGCACUGAAUGGGCUAGGGGUCGAAAGAUUACUGAACCCUAUCAAACUAAGAAUGCCAGAUAAUUGAUUCACGGGAGUCAGACAAUGUGAGAUAAGUCUCAUUGUCAAAAGGGAAACAGCCCAGACCCACAGCUAAGGUCCCUAAACAUUGUUAAGUGGAAAAGGAUGUGGGGUUGCAUAAACAACCAGGAUGUUGGCUUAGAAGCAGCCACUCAUUAAAAGAGUGCGUAAUAGCUCACUGGUCGAGUGACCCUGCGCCGAAAAUUCAACGGGGCUAAACAAUGUACCGAAGCUUGGGAUUCUAGAUUUAUCUAGAGUGGUAGGAGAGCGUCGAAUAAGGGGUGAAGUCAGAGCGGAAGCGCUGGUGGACUUUAUUCGAGUGAGAAUGCCGGAAUGAGUAGCGAGAAUUAUGUGAGAAUCAUAAUGGCCGAAAAUCUAAGGUUUCCUGAGGAAGGUUCGUCCGCUCAGGGUAAGCCGGGGGCUAAGGCGAGGCGGAGACGCGUAGCCGAUGCACAUACGGUUGAAAUUCCGUAGCCACCGAAAGAUUUAAGUACAGGGACGCUUUAGAAGUGAUGUAGCCGGGCGAUGGUUGACCCGGUCGUAAGGGAUCGAAAAUGAGUAGAGAAGUCAUCAUGGAAAGAGACAAGAAAAGCUGUAUGAAUAUCUUAGGUGCCCGUACCGCAAACCGACACAGGUAGAUAGGAAGAAGAUUCUAAGGCCAACGGGAGAAGGGUUGUUAAGGAACUCGGCAAGUUGACCCCGUAACUUAGGGAUAAGGGGUGCUCAAGUGAUUGAGCCGCAGAGAAUAGGCCCAGGCGACUGUUUAGCAAAAACACAGGUCUCUGCUAAAUCGAAAGAUGACGUAUAGGGGCUGACACCUGCCCGGUGCCGGAAGGUUAAGAGGAGAUGUGAGAGCAUUGAAUUGAAGCCCCGGUAAACGGCGGCCGUAACUAUAACGGUCCUAAGGUAGCGAAAUUCCUUGUCGGGU